Gossypium hirsutum (cotton) is the source of this 145-nucleotide non-coding RNA. The record is from Rfam. Lineage: Eukaryota; Viridiplantae; Streptophyta; Magnoliopsida; Malvales; Malvaceae.
UGUUAAAAAUUUCAUCCCUUUGUACUGUUAAAAACUAGCGUUGAUGACAGAAUAACAAGACAGUGAUGCUUGGCAUGCCACGUGUACCUCAUGCUAACUUAUAAGGACCAAUUUUUAAUAGUAGAAUUGGAUGAAAUUUUUAAAA